Non-coding RNA from Phoenix dactylifera (date palm), 95 nucleotides. The record is from RefSeq and is a predicted model, not a curated record. NCBI's taxonomy places the organism in Eukaryota, Viridiplantae, Streptophyta, Magnoliopsida, Arecales, Arecaceae.
UGUGUUUGUGAGCCAUCUACCGAAUCGUUGCAAUUGAUGUUCGAUCCCGAAGAGAAGGAAGAGAUCUUAGAAAAGUAGGGUAUACGAUCCGGUAA